AGACGCACGGCUGUCUGGAUC
RNAcentral lists this unclassified non-coding RNA (21 nucleotides) under Mus musculus (house mouse). RNAcentral describes it as "oocyte_clustered_small_RNA11004". The record is from RNAcentral. Lineage: Eukaryota; Metazoa; Chordata; Mammalia; Rodentia; Muridae.